This 302-nucleotide unclassified non-coding RNA is filed under the name plant metagenome. RNAcentral's name for it is "partial contains 5.8S ribosomal RNA, internal transcribed spacer 2, and large subunit ribosomal RNA". The stretch from base 1 to 105 matches the Rfam family "5.8S ribosomal RNA", at positions 50 to 154 of the family's 154-position model. The record is from RNAcentral.
GAAAUGCGAUAAGUAGUGUGAAUUGCAGAAUUCAGUGAAUCAUCGAAUCUUUGAACGCACAUUGCGCCCUUUGGUAUUCCUUAGGGCAUGCCUGUUCGAGCGUCAUUUAAACCUUCAAGCUCAGCUUGGUGAUGGGUGACUGUCCUCCCCUCGCGGGGGGACUCACCUCAAAAACAUUGGCGGCCGGUACAUUGGCUUCGAGCGCAGCAGAAACGCGGUCUCGAGUCCGGUGGAUCGGCUCCCAUAAGCCUUCUUUUUUAUUUUGACCUCGGAUCAGGUAGGGAUACCCGCUGAACUUAAGC